RNAcentral lists this ribosomal RNA (468 nucleotides) under uncultured bacterium. RNAcentral describes it as "partial 16S ribosomal RNA". It matches the Rfam family "Bacterial small subunit ribosomal RNA", at positions 28 to 507 of the family's 1533-position model. The record is from RNAcentral.
GACGAACGCUGGCGGCGUGCUUAACACAUGCAAGUCGAACGGAAAGGCCCUGCUUUUGUGGGGUGCUCGAGUGGCGAACGGGUGAGUAACACGUGAGUAACCUGCCCUUGACUUUGGGAUAACUUCAGGAAACUGGGGCUAAUACCGGAUAGGAGCUCCUGCUGCAUGGUGGGGGUUGGAAAGUUUCGGCGGUUGGGGAUGGACUGGCGGCUUAUCAGCUUGUUGGUGGGGUAGUGGCUUACCAAGGCUUUGACGGGUCGCCGGCCUGAGAGGGUGACCGGCCACAUUGGGACUGAGAUACGGACCAGACUCGUACGGGAGGCAGCAGUGGGGAAUAUUGCACAAUGGGAGGAAGCCUGAUGCAGCAACCCCGCGUGCGGGAUGCCGGCCUUCGGGUUGUAAACAGCUUUCGCCUGUGACGAAGCGUGAGUGACGGUAAUGGGUAAAGAAGCACCGGCUAACUACGUG